AGUAGUUCAACAGGUAGCCAUCCUCUCUUAACCUCUCCAUCUUCCAUUUCACUUGCUUUUCACAGUUCUCAUCAAUAUCGAUUUCUUCUGCUUAUCUCUCUCCUUCAAGAUGAUCUUCUCCAGUCCUUUCGAUUCCAUUCCCAAUCGUUCGUCUCAACUCGCUGACUAUUCAUUUCUUCGGCCAAGGUAAAUAAUAUAUUUGAUUUCAGUUUUUUCUCAAAUCCAUCUUUAUUAGGUCAAAUUAUUAGAUUUACUUCGGCCAAGUACUAUUGUUCAUAUGAAGCUAGUAGUGAUAUUUCAUAGAGUAGAGAGUUAAUAUCAGUUUUCGAGGUUUUAUUUUUGGUUCAAUUAUAGAUUGUGAAACUUAUUGACUUGAUUCAGUGACGCUGAAUCAGAUCCGUAAAGCUUCUCAAUCUGGAGAUGAUAAAUCAAAUUUUCUUAUCGAUGUUACUGAAAUAAGUCAUGUAUGAAAUCUGAAAAACUCUAAGCAUUUUGGUGCUCUGUUUCUCUUAAUGAAGUAAGACCGAUUCUGUAUAUUAAUUUUGUUGAGGUCACAUUCAUUAUCUUAUUUUUGUUUGUUUCUAUUGAUAAUUCUUCACCUCUUCAAAUGUUAGUCUACAAGGUGUUCGACGAAAUGCUUACAAGAACAUCUUUGUCUUCAGAUGGAUAUGCAACUUUUAAUUUUAAUAUAAGAUUGAGCUUGAAGAUCUAGUGGAAUAUGUUGAAAUCAAGUUAGUGAGAUUAGUUGGAGCAAAGAAAAAUGAUCUUACAGGUUCUAAGAUCUUAAUUGGUCUGAACUAGGUUUAGUUCAUCCAUAUUCUCUAGUCAAGCAAACAAAGAAGAAGAAAAUGGUAUCACUGUUUUUAGAUUUUGAUAUAAAUACGAGAGGCGCAGAGAUAAAAAAGUUUGUCUCCAAUGUAAGGGAUUACUUUGAUGACAAUGGAUUACAAUAAGAAAAGAAUAUUGUUGAGAACCGGAUUGAAUGUAACAUGAUACAACCGUUC
Molecule: long non-coding RNA, 1004 nt
Organism: Impatiens glandulifera
Lineage: Eukaryota; Viridiplantae; Streptophyta; Magnoliopsida; Ericales; Balsaminaceae
Exons: 4
Source: RefSeq, a predicted model, not a curated record